CGGUCCAAAGCUUAACACCGAGAACAUACUGCUUAAAGGCAGAGCGGUGGCGAAGUGAAACGAGCCAUCACGCAUACAUAAAGUGAUUAUCAAGCAAAAUGUUUUGGGUGUUGAGCUUUGGAUAGUGGCGAACGGGUGAGUAACGCGUAGGCAAUCUGCCUUCUAGAUGGGGACAACAUCCCGAAAGGGGUGCUAAUACCGAAUGUUGUACCGUUUCCGCAUGGAGAUGAUACUAAAGGUGGCCUCUGAAUAUGCUACCGCUAGAAGAUGAGCCUGCGUCUGAUUAGCUAGUUGGAGGGGUAACGGCCCACCAAGGCUUCGAUCAGUAGCCGGUCUGAGAGGAUGAACGGCCACACUGGGACUGAGACACGGCCCAGACUCCUACGGGAGGCAGCAGUGGGGAAUCUUCCGCAAUGGACGAAAGUCUGACGGAGCAACGCCGCGUGAGUGAAGAAGGUUUUCGGAUCGUAAAGCUCUUUCGUUAGGGACGAACGUGCUCUUUGUGAAUAAUGAAGAGUAAUGACGGUACCUAAAUAAGAAGCCACGGCUAACUACGUGCCAGCAGCCGCGGUAAUACGUAGGUGGCAAGCGUUGUCCGGAAUUAUUGGGCGUAAAGCGCGCGCA
RNAcentral lists this ribosomal RNA (624 nucleotides) under uncultured Anaerovibrio sp. RNAcentral's name for it is "bacterial SSU rRNA". It matches the Rfam family "Bacterial small subunit ribosomal RNA", at positions 67 to 573 of the family's 1533-position model. Lineage: Bacteria; Bacillati; Bacillota; Negativicutes; Selenomonadales; Selenomonadaceae. The record is from RNAcentral.